Molecule: ribosomal RNA, 165 nt
Filed under: Sesbania sesban
Lineage: Eukaryota; Viridiplantae; Streptophyta; Magnoliopsida; Fabales; Fabaceae
Description: 5.8S ribosomal RNA
Rfam family: 5.8S ribosomal RNA
About the family: 5.8S ribosomal RNA (5.8S rRNA) is a component of the large subunit of the eukaryotic ribosome. It is transcribed by RNA polymerase I as part of the 45S precursor that also contains 18S and 28S rRNA. Functionally, it is thought that 5.8S rRNA may be involved in ribosome translocation.
Source: RNAcentral
ACAAUGACUCUCGGCAACGGAUAUCUCGGCUCUUGCAUCGAUGAAGAACGUAGCGAAAUGCGAUACUUGGUGUGAAUUGCAGAAUCCCGUGAACCAUCGAGUCUUUGAACGCAAGUUGCGCCCGAAGCCAUUAGGCUGAGGGCACGCCUGCCUGGGUGUCACACA